ACGGAAGGCAGCAGUGGGGAAUAUUGCACAAUGGGCGAAAGCCUGAUGCAGCGACGCCGCGUGAGUGAAGAAGUAUCUCGGUAUGUAAAGCUCUAUCAGCAGGGAAGGAAAUGACGGUACCUGACUAAGAAGCCCCGGCUAACUACGUGCCAGCAGCCGCGGUAAUACGUAGGGGGCAAGCGUUAUCCGGAUUUACUGGGUGUAAAGGGAGCGUAGACGGUUUGGCAAGUCUGAAGUGAAAUGCGGGGGCUCAACUCCUGAACUGCUUUGGAAACUGUCGAACUAGAGUGCAGGAGAGGUAAGUGGAAUUCCUAGUGUAGCGGUGAAAUGCGUAGAUAUUAGGAGGAACACCAGUGGCGAAGGCGGCUUACUGGACUGUAACUGACGUUGAGGCUCGAAAGCGUGGGGAGCAAACAGGAUUAGAUACCCUGGUA
This 434-nucleotide ribosomal RNA is filed under the name uncultured Lachnospiraceae bacterium. Its description in RNAcentral is "partial 16S ribosomal RNA". It matches the Rfam family "Bacterial small subunit ribosomal RNA", at positions 341 to 792 of the family's 1533-position model. The record is from RNAcentral. Lineage: Bacteria; Bacillati; Bacillota; Clostridia; Lachnospirales; Lachnospiraceae.